This 256-nucleotide long non-coding RNA is filed under the name Rhinopithecus bieti (black snub-nosed monkey). RNAcentral describes it as "lncRNA (ENSRBIG00000045398.1)". The record is from RNAcentral. Lineage: Eukaryota; Metazoa; Chordata; Mammalia; Primates; Cercopithecidae.
GUAAUUUCAGGAGAAAUCAUGCAUGGUUGUUUGAAUAGGGUUGAGAGAAACUGUUAUAUACUUUGCGGAGUUGUGAUAAAUGCAUACAGUCAUUCUUCACUUUUAUGAAAGAGCUUAACAAGACUUGCGAUACUGUCUCUUCAAACGGUUCGGGGAAAGAAAGCAGCAUAAGAUGUAGAAGUCUGAGGCUCAUUUUCACCGUAUGGCAGAAAGCAUGCAGAACUAAAGUUAAAAAGCAGAAGUUCUCUUAUGCUGA